This 73-nucleotide transfer RNA is filed under the name Neotoma lepida (desert woodrat). It matches the Rfam family "tRNA". Rfam says of the family: Transfer RNA (tRNA) molecules are approximately 80 nucleotides in length. The record is from Rfam by way of RNAcentral. Lineage: Eukaryota; Metazoa; Chordata; Mammalia; Rodentia; Cricetidae.
GGUGCUGGAGCUCAGCCGUUAAGAGCAUUUGCUGCCUUUGCAGAAGACCUGGGUUCGAGUCCCAGCACCCACA